GAUGAACGCUGGCGGCGUGCUUAACACAUGCAAGUCGAACGGAAAGGCCCAAGCUUGCUUGGGUACUCGAGUGGCGAACGGGUGAGUAACACGUGGGUGAUCUGCCCUGCACUUCGGGAUAAGCCUGGGAAACUGGGUCUAAUACCGGAUAGGACCACAUUUUGGAUGGUGUGGUGGAAAGUUUUUCGGUGUGGGAUGAGCUCGCGGCCUAUCAGCUUGUUGGUGGGGUAAUGGCCUACCAAGGCGUCGACGGGUAGCCGGCCUGAGAGGGUGUACGGCCAAUUGGGGUGUGAGACACGGCCCAGCCCCCGCGGGGGGGAGGCAGGGGGGAAUAUGGCACAGGGGGCGCAGCCCUGAGGCGGCGACCCGGGGUGGGGGAUGACGCCUUUGGGUUUUUAAACUCUUUGCGCGGGGGACGAAGCGUUUUUGUGGCGUUCCCGGGAAAAAAAGCACCGCCAAACCAGGUC
This 467-nucleotide ribosomal RNA is filed under the name uncultured bacterium. RNAcentral's name for it is "partial 16S ribosomal RNA". It matches the Rfam family "Bacterial small subunit ribosomal RNA", at positions 28 to 507 of the family's 1533-position model. The record is from RNAcentral.